Phacochoerus africanus (Common warthog) is the source of this 4249-nucleotide long non-coding RNA. RefSeq lists it as uncharacterized. Lineage: Eukaryota; Metazoa; Chordata; Mammalia; Artiodactyla; Suidae. The transcript is spliced from 3 exons. The record is from RefSeq and is a predicted model, not a curated record.
ACUAAUUACAGAUGAUUUAAAAGUUUAAGGGAGGAUGUGUUGGGUUAUAUAUGGAAACAUUUUGUCAUUUUAUAGAAGGGACUUGAGCAUUUGCAGAUACCCUGGGGUCAGUCCCCCCCUCAGAAUCCAAGGGGUGACUGUACUUCUAAAUCUUUGAAUUAAUCAUAAUAGAACAGGAGAGAAGGGGGCAGGGCACAACCUUUAACGAAUGACAGAGCCAUUGAGGACAAGACAUAAACUGGUUGGAACCAAGUAGGUCCAAGUUGGGGGAUGGCAGGACUUCCAGUGGACUCGAGCCUCACUGUACCCUCACUGUAAUACAUUAGCAUAGGCUACAUGACACACCUACAGGUGCCAGGACAGCUCCAAGACCAACCAUAAAAGACCAAAAAGUGGGCAGUGACGCUAUUCCUGGAAAUCUCCAGCCCUUUUCCAAAUGGUUGGAAUAAUCCUCCCAUGUAUUAGCUCUGAAGUUACCCAGCCCAUGAAAACCAACCACCCCAGAUUUGGGGGCCACUCUCUUGCCUUUGGAAACAGAGCACAUUCUGUCUAUGGAACAUGUACCUCCCAGGCUGCUCUCACCUUCUGAGAUGGUCCACACUCUCUCUCUCACUAAAUCCACUUCUUACCUAUCAUGUUGCCUUUCGCUGAAUUCCUUCUGCUCUGAGACAUAAAGAAUCUGAACUUCAGUAAGUCCUGGCAUUUCAAUUAAAAGAGAGUGGGUUCAAGUCCUAAUCCGAGUUGUAGGGUUUCCAUAAGAAGUCCUCAAAAACAAAAACAAAGCCCUCACCUAAGAGAAUGGCGAAAUUCAAAAAGAGGAGGGGCUUGUUUUUAAUCCUUAAAUAGCUGAGUCCCUUCAAAAUUAAGAAGUCACUGUUUCCCCAGACAGUAGGCCAACAGAAAGAAGGACAUGUCCUUGGACCUAUCUUUCUGUGGCUGUCACAGCUGAGACAAAGCUGCGGGCCCUGCUGAGGAAGUGCAGCACCCCCCUUCAGAGAGCCAAGGUCUCUGUUUCCUUCCAGCAGGAACCAUAGAUGCUUCGUAGGAAAAUACAGGAAUUCGAUGCACAUGAAGCAAAAUACAACUAGCUCAGGGAGAGGGGGAGAGUUUUCCUGAAAUCCAUGAGUUUCCCUGGUUUCACAUGACACCGUGUAGGGUUUAUAAUUCACGUACCACAGGAGGCUGAACAUUGUCAUUUCCUGCCCCCUCCAAUGGUGGUUUUCCAGUGAGGAGAACAUUGUGACUAACCAGUGCUGUCUUUUUUUUUUUUUACUCUGUCUUCAUGUUUGUGAAACAAAGCUGGCUUAUACUUGCAGGGGGAGGGGCUGAGGAGGUGGGCUGCAGAGAAGCAACCUGGAGCUGGUCUUAUUAUCAAUCAUCUCCGCCGGUUGUGAGAGUUUUGACAAGAAAAACCUACCCACACAGACGGGCACUGCUGUGCAUUUACAGCAUGUUACUUAGAGCAUUUAUGAGACAUCAUCUAACGUUCUAUCAGAUGAGUCUUUCAAUAUAAAUAUUCAGACCGACUGAGAUUGAACUUUGUAACAUCCGAACUUGAUUAUGAAACAGGCAAGAGAGACUCUAUGCAUAUUUUCACUGGUUCACUUAGUCUUUCAUAUGUUGAAGGGUGUGUGCGUGUGCUUGUGUGUGUGUGUGUUAGGGGUGGAAUUUUCAAAUCUGGAGCUUCUAUGUAACAUGUAUUUGCUGUGGUGCUUGCAUGACGCUGAUGUUCAGCAGAGGUCGGCUAAGCGAACCUGUAGUUUGCUCGGGUUUCAUCACCAGUGAUUUCUUCUCUUGGGUAUGGUGGUUGUAAAACACUGCUGUGCGUGAAGGCCUACGUGGGCCCUCACUCAGCCCUUCAGGAAGGCCGCCUGUGACCUGAGGAACCUGCUGUUUGAGGUGCAGUCAGCUGUCAGAGGAAAUGGCUCUCAGGGACGGUCAGUGAACAGGCAGCUUCCAGAGCUAAGAAGCCCAGUCCUGAGGAGGGAGGACCCACACUCUCAGGAAGGUAAUAGCAUGUCACCAGAGGCGACCUUGAGCCCCUCGCACCGAGUGGAUGCAGGCAGAGAAGACUCUUAUGGAGCUGAAAUGAUUAGCACAUACAUGAUCUGGACUUUCGGAUCCAGAAAUUGUCACUCUCUCCCCAGCACUGCCGGGAGGGGAAGGGGAGAGGAUGACUUGACCAACAAGUCAUAUUACUCUGUGCUCUGGGACAUACUCCCAACAACGGAGACGCAGGCAGGAAGCCUCGUGUUGUAUGUACCCUUGACCAGGUGGUCACUGUAUUUUGCAUGAAGUAUGAAUUAACUAGACUUAAUGGCUGAUACGUCAGUUUCGUAUGGGUUUUGGUUAAGCAAGAGGCAGUUCUAAGCCAACCACUCCUGGUGCUGUAACUCAUCAUUUCUUGCCCUGAGAAGCCCAGGACCAGUCUGGGGGCUCAUCAGGGCAGUACCCCCUGGGAACCCAGCCUGCCCGGCUAACUAGCCCCCUCAGUGACACAUCCAGUGUCUCUCUGACUGCACGGGGAGGCCGUGGAGGGCAAGUGCCCAUCUCAUUACAACACUUGAGUUCCGAGUUGUGACACCAACAUCUGAUACGUCUCAUGUGAUUCAUAACUAUUCAUCAAAAAGCAGUUAUGCUUCAGCUGGUCUUAAAAAGAGACACUCCCAAAGUCCCUCCAGGAAUAAACGUUUGAAGGAGAACCUUCCUGAAUGGACAAAACUAUUUCCAGUGGAGCAAGAAGCCUGGAAUCUUGUCUAAGAAAAUGAAAAGAAGUUCCACGUACAUUCACCUUAGAAGGCCCCUUGAUCUGUAACACCAGCCAGCUUCAUCAUAUCGCUGAUCACCCCAGGAAAGGAACCACCUGCAGGCUGCCUGGUGGCUCAGAGGUGUCCUGAGUGACCACACUGCUUCCUACCGGCGCUCUGGGCUGGAUGCUGACAAAGCCAGAUGGGCGGCAGCAGCGUGACCACCCUGGGAACACCUCCCUGGCUUGGUUUUGAGGAGUGGCCGGUCCCCAGCUCUGCCUCCAGCUCCAGCUCCAGGACUGACUGACCACAGCAUCACAUCCUCCGGCUGCAGGGGCGGGUGCCAAACCAGGUCAGCGAUGCCAGUGGAAUUGGCUUCCAGAACUGUUACUGUGAACUGCAAAGAAGUGUUCUUUUUUGCUGCCCUUAUGAAGCUUGCCAGGAGCCGCCAUCUGAAGAAGUCAGCCCACCGCAGGGGCAGCCUGGAGAAAAGCAGAGCCGGGCUGCGGGGAGGAAGCCAGGCCUACCUCUCCCCAACAGUGGGUGCGGAGCCCACAGGGCACACAUCGCUGGACACCCACUUCUCAGGACAGUGGCGUAGCUGUGUUGAAAGGACCAGCCCUCAUUCUUUCUAGUAUAUACUACGCAAACCUGAACCACGCUUGCUGAAAGGAGACACUUGGAACGCAGUGGCUUCUUAGCAGGUGACGGUUAUUUUGUCAGGACAUGACAAGCGCCUAUCAUCCGGGGGAGGUCCAGCUCUUACUCUCAGGACAAAGUCACAGAUUUCCAAAAGGACCCUGGAAAGGCCUCAGGAAGUUGCCACCCGGGAGAGUGUUUCUCCAAGGCCCUUCGUGUCCAGACUUCCCCUCACGGCGGGACAGACCUCAGCUCCCUCGGGGUUUACGUGAGGGCGCUUGUGGAGAAUCCAUCUCUAAUGCCACAGUCGUGGAGAUCAGGCCACAUGGGCACAUGGCAGCUGAGCCCCUGUGAGAGAAGGACAGGCUUCAGCCACCACCUUGGCCUUCGAGGGCUGUAGCUCAUGGACAGAGAGAGUAUGACCUGGCUGUUACAUGUUAUCCUGCACUGUGCCCACCCCCACCCCUCAUUCCCCCACCUCUUUUUUUUUCCUUUGUGACCUUUAUUGCUAAAUUCAUUAAGGCACGGUGCGCAUCUGGGCAGUUCUGCUGUAUUACCAUCCAUUCCCGCUAAGUUAUCACCAUCCAAUCACACCCUGAGUGGAUCAGCACCCCAAUAUCAACUGCCAGGUCGGUCCAUGUGGAGAACCCUUUGACAUCUGGAUUGUCUUUUCCCUAGCAUGUGGCGAAAGCUCAAGGGGGCAUUUUCAGAAAGUAUACUCUGUGGUAGUUCUAAAAUAGUCCUUGGAAAACUAUAUGGAGAUGCCUCAAAAAAUUAAAAAGAGAACUAGUAAUUAGGAUCCAGAAAUAACGAGCCAGUAAUUCCACUCCUGGGUAUUAUCCAAAGAAAAAGAAAACACUAAU